UAUCUUCGGGGCGGGGCGCAAUUCCCCACCGGCAGUAAAGUCUGCGAACUCUGAACACAGUCAGAGCCGAACUGGUGAGAUUCCAGUACCGACGGUUAUAGUCCGGAUGAAAGAGGAUG
RNAcentral lists this non-coding RNA (119 nucleotides) under uncultured Lachnoclostridium sp. RNAcentral's name for it is "FMN riboswitch (RFN element)". It matches the Rfam family "FMN riboswitch aptamer (RFN element)". From Rfam's summary of the family: The RFN element is a highly conserved domain that is found frequently in the 5'-untranslated regions of prokaryotic mRNAs that encode for flavin mononucleotide (FMN) biosynthesis and transport proteins. This element is a metabolite-dependent riboswitch that directly binds FMN in the absence of proteins. Lineage: Bacteria; Bacillati; Bacillota; Clostridia; Lachnospirales; Lachnospiraceae. The record is from RNAcentral.